Molecule: ribosomal RNA, 1447 nt
Filed under: Klebsiella pneumoniae
Lineage: Bacteria; Pseudomonadati; Pseudomonadota; Gammaproteobacteria; Enterobacterales; Enterobacteriaceae
Description: partial 23S ribosomal RNA
Rfam family: Bacterial large subunit ribosomal RNA
Source: RNAcentral
CACUAUCGUUAACUGAAUACAUAGGUUAACGAGGCGAACCGGGGGAACUGAAACAUCUAAGUACCCCGAGGAAAAGAAAUCAACCGAGAUUCCCCCAGUAGCGGCGAGCGAACGGGGAGCAGCCCAGAGUCUGAAUCAGCUUGUGUGUUAGUGGAACGGUCUGGAAAGUCCGACGGUACAGGGUGAUAGUCCCGUACACCAAAAUGCACAGGCUGUGAACUCGAAGAGUAGGGCGGGACACGUGGUAUCCUGUCUGAAUAUGGGGGGACCAUCCUCCAAGGCUAAAUACUCCUGACUGACCGAUAGUGAACCAGUACCGUGAGGGAAAGGCGAAAAGAACCCCGGCGAGGGGAGUGAAAAAGAACCUGAAACCGUGUACGUACAAGCAGUGGGAGCACCUUCGGGUGUGACUGCGUACCUUUUGUAUAAUGGGUCAGCGACUUAUAUUCUGUAGCAAGGUUAACCGUAUAGGGGAGCCGCAGGGAAACCGAGUCUUAACUGGGCGUUAAGUUGCAGGGUAUAGACCCGAAACCCGGUGAUCUAGCCAUGGGCAGGUUGAAGGUUGGGUAACACUAACUGGAGGACCGAACCGACUAAUGUUGAAAAAUUAGCGGAUGACUUGUGGCUGGGGGUGAAAGGCCAAUCAAACCGGGAGAUAGCUGGUUCUCCCCGAAAGCUAUUUAGGUAGCGCCUCGUGAAUUCAUCUUCGGGGGUAGAGCACUGUUUCGGCUAGGGGGUCAUCCCGACUUACCAACCCGAUGCAAACUACGAAUACCGAAGAAUGUUAUCACGGGAGACACACGGCGGGUGCUAACGUCCGUCGUGAAGAGGGAAACAACCCAGACCGCCAGCUAAGGUCCCAAAGUCAUGGUUAAGUGGGAAACGAUGUGGGAAGGCACAGACAGCCAGGAUGUUGGCUUAGAAGCAGCCAUCAUUUAAAGAAAGCGUAAUAGCUCACUGGUCGAGUCGGCCUGCGCGGAAGAUGUAACGGGGCUAAACCAUGCACCGAAGCUGCGGCAGCGACACUAUGUGUUGUUGGGUAGGGGAGCGUUCUGUAAGCCUGCGAAGGUGUGCUGUGAGGCAUGCUGGAGGUAUCAGAAGUGCGAAUGCUGACAUAAGUAACGAUAAAGCGGGUGAAAAGCCCGCUCGCCGGAAGACCAAGGGUUCCUGUCCAACGUUAAUCGGGGCAGGGUGAGUCGACCCCUAAGGCGAGGCCGAAAGGCGUAGUCGAUGGGAAACAGGUUAAUAUUCCUGUACUUGGUGUUACUGCGAAGGGGGGACGGAGAAGGCUAUGUUAGCCGGGCGACGGUUGUCCCGGUUUAAGCAUGUAGGCUGGUUGUCCAGGCAAAUCCGGAUAAUCAAGGCUGAGGUGUGAUGACGAGGCACUACGGUGCUGAAGUAACAAAUGCCCUGCUUCCAGGAAAAGCCUCUAAGCAUCAGGUAACAU